RNAcentral lists this ribosomal RNA (547 nucleotides) under uncultured bacterium. RNAcentral describes it as "bacterial SSU rRNA". It matches the Rfam family "Bacterial small subunit ribosomal RNA", at positions 355 to 896 of the family's 1533-position model. The record is from RNAcentral.
UGGGGAAUAUUGCGCAAUGGGGGGAACCCUGACGCAGCCAUGCCGCGUGAAUGAAGAAGGCCUUAGGGUUGUAAAGUUCUUUCGGUAUUGAGGAAGGUUGAUGUGUUAAUAGCACAUCAAAUUGACGUUAAAUACAGAAGAAGCACCGGCUAACUCCGUGCCAGCAGCCGCGGUAAUACGGAGGGUGCGAGCGUUAAUCGGAAUAACUGGGCGUAAAGGGCACGCAGGCGGUUAUUUAAGUGAGGUGUGAAAGCCCCGAGCUUAACCUGGGAAUUGCAUUUCAGACUGGGUAACUAGAGUACUUUAGGGAGGGGUAGAAUUCCACGUGUAGCGGUGAAAUGCGUAGAGAUGUGGAGGAAUACCGAAGGCGAAGGCAGCCCCUUGGGAAUGUACUGACGCUCAUGUGCGAAAGCGUGGGGAGCAAACAGGAUUAGAUACCCUGGUAGUCCACGCUGUAAACGCUGUCGAUUUGGGGGUUGGGGUUUAACUCUGGCGCCCGUAGCUAACGUGAUAAAUCGACCGCCUGGGGAGUACGGCCGCAAGGUUA